AGUAACGUCGUAACAAGGUAACCCGUAGAGUUUGAAUCCUGGCUCAGGAUGAACGCUGGCGGUAUGCUUAACACAUGCAAGUCGAACGGUGUCUUCGGACAUAGUGGCGGACGGGUGAGUAACGCGUGAGAAUCUAGCUUCAGGUCUGGGACAACCACUGGAAACGGUGGCUAAUACCGGAUGUGCCGGAAGGUGAAAGGCUUGCUGCCUGAAGAUGAGCUCGCGUCCGAUUAGCUAGUAGGUGGGGUAAGAGCCUACCUAGGCGACGAUCGGUAGCUGGUCUGAGAGGAUGACCAGCCACACUGGGACUGAGACACGGCCCAGACUCCUACGGGAGGCAGCAGUGGGGAAUUUUCCGCAAUGGGCGAAAGCCUGACGGAGCAAUACCGCGUGAGGGAGGAAGGCUCUUGGGUUGUAAACCUCUUUUCUCAGGGAAGAACACAAUGACGGUACCUGAGGAAUCAGCAUCGGCUAACUCCGUGCCAGCAGCCGCGGUAAUACGGAGGAUGCAAGCGUUAUCCGGAAUGAUUGGGCGUAAAGCGUCCGCAGGUGGCUGUGUAAGUCUGCUGUCAAAGAGCAAAGCUCAACUUUGUAAAGGCAGUGGAAACUACACGGCUAGAGUGCGUUCGGGGCAGAGGGAAUUCCUGGUGUAGCGGUGAAAUGCGUAGAGAUCAGGAAGAACACCGGUGGCGAAGGCGCUCUGCUAGGCCGCAACUGACACUGAGGGACGAAAGCUAGGGGAGCGAAUGGGAUUAGAUACCCCAGUAGUCCUAGCUGUAAACGAUGGAUACUAGGCGUGGCUUGUAUCGACCCGAGCCGUGCCGUAGCUAACGCGUAAGUUCCCGCCUGGAGACCCCC
This 858-nucleotide ribosomal RNA is filed under the name Anabaena sp. SGR7. RNAcentral's name for it is "bacterial SSU rRNA". It matches the Rfam family "Bacterial small subunit ribosomal RNA", at positions 1 to 884 of the family's 1533-position model. Lineage: Bacteria; Bacillati; Cyanobacteriota; Cyanophyceae; Nostocales; Nostocaceae. RNAcentral also lists the same sequence under 1 other name. The record is from RNAcentral.